This 1444-nucleotide ribosomal RNA is filed under the name uncultured bacterium. RNAcentral's name for it is "bacterial SSU rRNA". It matches the Rfam family "Bacterial small subunit ribosomal RNA". The record is from RNAcentral.
GGAAACCUAGUAGAGCGGCGAACGGGUGAGUAACAGGUGGGUAAUGUGCCCUCGGGUGGGGGAUAACUCCGGGAAACCGGAGCUAAUACCGCAUACGUUUGCGAUGGCCAUGGCCUUGGCAAAGAAAGGUGCGCGUCUUACGGAGUGUGUCGCCCGAGGAUCGGCCCGCCCCCCAUUAGCUUGUUGGUAGGGUCACGGCCUACCAAAGCCACGAUGGGUAGCUGGUCUGAGAGGAUGGUCAGCCACACUGGGACUGAGAUACGGCCCAGACUCCUACGGGAGGCAGCAGUCUAGAAGCUUCGGCAAUGCCCGAAAGGGUGACCGAGCGACGCCGCGUGUGGGAUGAAGGCUUUCGGGUUGUAAACCACUGUCAGUGGGGACGAAUGCCCGGAUGGUGAAUCCGGGAGUGACGGUACCCGCAGAGGAAGCCCCGGCUAACUCCGUGCCAGCAGCCGCGGUAAUACGGAGGGGGCAAGCGUUGUUCGGAAUUACUGGGCGUAAAGGGCGCGUAGGCGGGAUGGUCCGUCCGCUGUGAAAGUGCUACCGCUCAACGGAGCAAUGUCAGCGGAAACAACCAUUCUUGAGUCCGGGAGAGGUGAGCGGAAUUGCUGGUGUAACGGUGGAAUGUAUAGAGAUCAGCAAGAACACCGGUGGCGAAGGCGGCUCACUGGCCCGGUUCUGACGCUGAGUGCGCGAAAGCGUGGGGAGCAAACGGGAUUAGAUACCCCGGUAGUCCACGCCCUAAACGGUGGGCACUAGGUGUGGGAGGUAUCGACCCCUUCCGUGCCGCAGCUAACGCAUUAAGUGCCCCGCCUGGGGAGUACGACCGCAAGGUUGAAACUCAAAGGAAUUGACGGGGGCCCGCACAAGCGGUGGAGCAUGUGGUUCAAUUCGAUGCAACGCGAAGAACCUUACCGGGGCUUGAAGUGGAGGGUAAACCCGCCGAAAGGCGGGCUGCUUCGGCGACCCUCUAGAGGUGUUGCAUGGCUGUCGUCAGCUCGUGUCGUGAGAUGUUGGGUUAAGUCCCGCAACGAGCGCAACCCCUAUCCUUAGUUACCAGCACAUCAUGGUGGGGACUCUAAGGAGACCGCCUGCGUAAGCAGGAGGAAGGUGGGGAUGACGUCAAGUCCUCAUGGCCCUUAUGUCCCGGGCUACACACGUGCUACAAUGGCCGGUACAAUGAGUCGCAAGACCGCGAGGUGGAGCCAAUCUCUAAAGCCGGCCUCAGUUCGGAUUGGAGUCUGCAACUCGACUCCAUGAAGCCGGAAUCGCUAGUAAUCGCGCAUCAGAACGGCGCGGUGAAUACGUUCCCGGGCCUUGUACACACCGCCCGUCACACCACGAAAGUCGGCUGUACCAGAAGUCGCUGGACCACCCGCCCUCGGGUGGAGGAAGGUGCCGAAGGUAUGGCCGGUGAUUGGGGUGAAGUCGUAACAAGGUAACC